UCGCUCUGACCCGGUGCGGUGCUCCUCGUGGGCACCACUGCUGUGUGUCGGAACGUACCUUCCAUCCUUUCUGGGCAGCCUCUGCGUACUGUUUACUCAGUUUUGCGCGGAUGUGCCGACCAGAUCUUUUACUUUGAAAAAAUUAGAGUGUUUAAAGCAGGCUUACGCCGUGAAUACAUUAGCAUGGAAUAAUAAUUUAGGACUUCGGUUCUAUUUUGUUGGUUUCUAGGACUGAAGUAAUGAUUGAUAGGGAUAGUUGGGGGUGCUAGUAUUCAGCGGCCAGAGGUGAAAUUCUCGGAUUCGCUGAAGACUAACUUAUGCGAAAGCAUU
Molecule: ribosomal RNA, 330 nt
Filed under: Thaumatomonadida sp.
Lineage: Eukaryota; Cercozoa; Imbricatea; Thaumatomonadida
Description: SSU rRNA
Rfam family: Eukaryotic small subunit ribosomal RNA (bases 119-330)
Source: RNAcentral